AAGCCAGGGGCCUCGAGGGCUUGAAUACAAGUGCUCGAUCAUAGACGAGUCAGCGGAAGCAACAAUAUCUGAGUACAGACAUAAGUUAAACAAGUUUGCCUUAAGAAGACUAGCACAAACUGGGAUAUAGAUCGAAAGAGGCGCAGGCCUCCUGCCUGGGAUCCUCCUAACUACUCCUGGUCGUCCUCAGCGGGCCGCACGUAGUAGUAG
This 210-nucleotide ribosomal RNA is filed under the name Triticum aestivum (bread wheat). RNAcentral's name for it is "partial small subunit ribosomal RNA". The record is from RNAcentral. Lineage: Eukaryota; Viridiplantae; Streptophyta; Magnoliopsida; Poales; Poaceae.